UUAAAGUUUGAUUCUUUCUUAGGUCUUUAUGGGUUUAUUGAAGUUGUAUGAGAAUUAUAGUGGGUAAAAAUAUAGGGGAUUAAAGAUCUCAUUAUUAAUAAUAAAUGGAGAUAAUUAAGUUAAUGUAAAAUAAAGCCUCAGCAUAUAGAAUUAGACAAUGUACAAGUGUAUGAUUUAGUAAUAGUUUAAAGCCUGAUUAAAUAUUGUGCCAGCAGUCGCGGUUAGACUUUAAGGUUGAGUAAAGAUGAAUUGGUUGUUUAGUUAGAUGAGGGGGUUAAAAAGAGUUGGAGAAAAUAAAAGGUGGAAUUGAGUUGUUUUUGAAGAAACAAUAGUUGUUAACUUGAAUCGAAGCUAAAAAUUUUUAGAUUUAAACUAGGAUUAGAUACCCUAUUAUACUAAAAGGUAACUUUAUAGCCUGAUUAUUAAAAGAUAUGGUCUUGAAAUUUAAAGAAUUUGGCGGUAAUUUAGUCUUGUCAGAGGAACCUGUUUUUUAAUCGAUAAACCACGUAAAAUCUUGCUUGUUUUUGUUUUUAGCCUGUAUACCGUCAUUGGUAGAUAAUUUUAAAAGGAAAAAUUAUUAUAAUUAAUUAGUGUUAAUAAAAUUAGAUCAAGGUGCAGCUUAUAAAUAAGUUAAAAUGGGUUACAAUAAAAUUUAUUUACAACGGAAUGAGUUAGGAAGAUUAAGUCAUAAAGGAGGAUUUGAUUGUAAUGUGAAUUUAAUAUGUUCAGGAGAUAUAAGCUCUAAAUUAUGUACAUAUCGCCCGUCGCUUUCAUUAUAUAGAUGAGAUAAGUCGUAACAUAGUAGGUUUACUGGAAAGUGUACCUAGUUUA
RNAcentral lists this non-coding RNA (831 nucleotides) under Segonzacia mesatlantica. Lineage: Eukaryota; Metazoa; Arthropoda; Malacostraca; Decapoda; Bythograeidae. The record is from RNAcentral.